AUUAACAUCCCGCUCCCGGUGGCGCAGGGGAGCCGGCCAAAGUUCCUCGCAAAGUGGCGAGCGAAGGAGCGCUGAGCACUGGCGUCUGGGCUGGGGAGGAGCGGGUCCCAGCGAGGACGGAGAGGGGACAGAGGGAAAGGGAGGCGGGUGUCUUCCUCAGGAAUUUGAGCUGGGGAUCUGCAUCCUGGCCAUUGCAGUCCUUUAGCAUCCUCGCCGCGCCCUGAGCGCGCUGGAGGCUUGCAGGCUGCGCCCUCCCAGGGCUGAUGCCGCGUCCUGCUCCGCCGUUCUGGGACGUCGGGGACAAAAGUGGAGGAGACGGGAGAGCCCGGGCAGAAAAAGCAGGACGCGCGUCCCAGCUGCCGUGAAGAUGCCAAACCCACCAAGACUGCGCUGCCCCACCUCUCCGAGGCUGUCCUGGGAGUGCGGGUGACCCGCGAGCUCCAGAAUCUUUCCUUAAGGUGGAGCCACAGCGCCACCUCGCGAUCCUCCAGCUUCCCUCCCUCAUGGCCACGGAAGGCUGGCCCUUUCUGGUCCAAGCCCUCAGGGUCCCACACUUACUGGUUUUCCAUGCACUUUCAUUAUUUCCCUUUCUCUCUCUUCAAUGUUCCCUUAUCCCGAGUAUUGAGGUCCCCAAACACGCCUUUCUACCCCACGUUUGGACAUAGCCGGAAUGUCUACCUCCUUCUCCAUCCGGUGAAGCACUGCUCCCCCUAAAAUCACCAGCUCAAAAGUCACCUCUAUGAAACCUUUUUAGACUUUUCCAAGGCAGUCAUUCGUGCCUUUCCCUGGUUUCCCUACUGCUCGCAUCACAUUGGACAGGAAAUGCUAUUUAAACGUUUUUCUCCUGUCCCUAAUCAGGGAGCUCCUCUGAGAGGAGCCAUGGCUGUCUUUGCUUAUUCAACAAUAAAACCUAGUAUAUAUCAAGUGCAUACUAUGGAGCGUUUAAUGCACUGUACUGUGCAAAAACAUAUUGUCUUAUUUCAUUUUCCCAGCAAAAUCAUGAGGAAAGCACGGAUAUUGUUUCCCAUUUUGCAGAUGAAGAAACUGAGGUUAGAGAAAAUAAGUACCCAUCCAAGGUAGCAUUGCAGAGCCUCAUCCAAGUCAGCCUGUCUGAUGCCAGAGCCAACUUUUCUUAACCUCUGACUUGCAGACUUAUUCAGCUCUAUAUCCGUGGGCUUUGUGAUAGGAAAAGACACAGAAUGAGUACUUGUGUGUUUAUGAAUAAAUGUAUCUUUUAAAUUAUUUCUUCUCCUAGAGAGUUGGGUGUGGGAAGGCACUGCAAUUAUCAGAUACUUUGAUUGAAAUGUCACCACAAUUAUUUAUCUCUAAAGAGUAUUCCUCUGCUAAGUAGCUAGGAGACCUUGGUCAAGUCACUUCAUCCUCAGUUUCCUAAGUUCUAAAAGUAGGUUUACUGUGGAGGAUUAAAUGAGGAAAAAAAAUGUGAAUUACAUGAUAUAUAGCAUUCUAGUCAUUACUCAGUAAUUAUAAUAACUCGAAACUACUGAAACACAAAAAAAAAACCAAAACACAAAAUUGACUUACUCUAGUCACACAGAAUUCACUGUACCUCUGUAUGAAAUCAUCUUACUGUUAUAUCUUCAUUUUCAUCUUAGACAUGAAUUAUAUAAUAAAUAUUUUUAGUUUAUGGUGGUUAGGGUGUUAAUGUUAACCGUGCUCUGUUACAAAUAUUUAAGGGGUAGUGGGGAGAGAUAUAAAUCAAACAGUAAACCAGCAAACUUUGCCUCUCGUAAUUUCCUCCUGCUUUGUAGAUCUUUACCAAGAAAGAUUUAAAGAAAGGCUAUAAAAGUACUUAUUGGCCACGCACGGUGUCUCACUCCUGUAAUCCCAGCCCUUUGGGAGUCCGAGGCAGGUGGAUAACCUGAGGUCAGGAGUUCGAGACCAGCCUGGCCAAUAUGGUGAAACCCUGUCUCUACUAAAAAUACAAAAAGUUAGCCGGGCUUGGUGACGGGUGCCUGCAAUCCUAGCUACUUGGGAGGCUGAGGCAGGAGAAUCGCUUGAACCCAGGAGGCAGAGGUUGCAGUGAGCCAAGAUCGCACCAUUGCACUCCACCUGGGCAACAAGAACAAAACUCUGCCUCAAAAAAAAAAAGAAAAAAGAAAAAGAAAAAAAUGCUUAUUAUUCUGGAAAGUACAAAACUCUAUUUUUUAAUUUAGGGGAGAUUCUGAGCUACUUUAAGUGUUUCCCUACUUGAAAACGUCGUUGCUACCAAUACAUUAAAAGUUUAAAAAUAUGUGUCUAAGCAAAUGAUUGUAUCCAAAUAAAAGAAAACUCAAAUAAAAUAAUGUAUUACUACUAAUAUAUUAAAAGUUUAAAAAUACAUGUCUAAGCAAAUGAUUGUAUCUAAAUAAAACAAACAAAUGAAUGUUGUCUGAACAUAUUCUAGACCUUAAGACAUUUCCCAAAAAGGUUAAGUUUUAAAGAUUUAACAUCUCUUUCUAGAGUGACCCAUUAAACAAACAUUCCUAUUGUCAAUUAGGUGAAAAUGAACUUUUUCCCCUGUUACGGCUAUAACUUUCCUACUGUCCAAUUAUUUUGGAAAGACUGUUGACUAGUAUUGUCAUGUCAUAAACACAUGAUUUCUCCUCUGAGAAAUGAGGCUAAUAAAAUCCACAAAAGGUAUAAA
Long non-coding RNA from Pan troglodytes (chimpanzee), 2644 nucleotides. RefSeq lists it as uncharacterized. The record is from RefSeq and is a predicted model, not a curated record. The transcript has 2 exons. Lineage: Eukaryota; Metazoa; Chordata; Mammalia; Primates; Hominidae.